UACGGAGGAUGCAAGCGUUAUCCGGAUUCAUUGGGUUUAAAGGGUGCGCAGGUGGGAAAAUAAGUCAGUGGUGAAAUACUGCCGCUUAACGGUAGAAUUGCCAUUGAUACUGUUUUUCUUGAGUAUGGUUGAGGUAGGUGGAAUGUGUUGUGUAGCGGUGAAAUGCAUAGAUAUGACACAGAACGCCGAUUGCGAAGGCAGCUUACUAAGCCAUUACUGACGCUGAGGCACGAAAGCGUGGGGAUCAAACAGGAUUAGAUACCCUGGUAGUCCACGCCGUAAACGAUGAUCACUCGCUGUUUGCGAUAUACAGCAAGCGGCUGAGCGAAAGCAUUAAGUGAUCCACCUGGGGAGUACGAUCGCAAGGUUGAA
Molecule: ribosomal RNA, 372 nt
Filed under: uncultured bacterium
Lineage: Bacteria
Description: bacterial SSU rRNA
Rfam family: Bacterial small subunit ribosomal RNA
Source: RNAcentral